CCGCAACCCGGGCCCAAUCCACCCUUAUCUUAUUAUCCACAACUAUCAACACCAUUCAAUGCAAUAACAGCGUACAAAUCAACCUUCAACAUCAACGACAAAAUCAAUCCAAAUCACAACUCUCCACCCAAAUCCAAGGACCCGAUAACACCCCCAACAACUCGCCGACCCAAGCUCCAACCCAUCUAUUUCUUCUUCGCCACAUUUCUUUCCACGCGAAUUCAUACAGAAAAGUUCAAAAACCUUCUAGAACAAACCAAGAUUUCAUCGUCUAACGUCCAUAUUCCGCAAAUCUUGGGACAUAUGGUACAAUUUGGUACAUUUGUGGGGGAAUUCGAUUGGCUUAAGAGAGAUUCCAUUUCUCCGCAUCUAUUUCCCUAGGGGGAAUAAUCCAAAUAGGUACAAGUCAUUUGUUUUGGAAACCGUAGCCUUAAUUUGAAUUUUGAAUUUCUCCCCUUUUUCAAAUCCCUAAAUUACCCCUAAUUAGUCUUUUAUAUAAGAACUCAUUUGCGUCACUGUUAGGGGGGUCAAAAAAUUCUAGGGGGUUCUUUGGAGGCUGAUAAUUCCAGGGUUUAGAAAGUUUUCUAAAAACCUAGGUUGAACAAAAAAUUUUCUUUUGGGUAAAAGAAGGAGGAUUUCGAAAAAGAGUAAUUUGGUUUCGGGGAAAGAGAAACUUUGUUUGGUAAAGAUUUUAGGAAGAAACAGUUAGCUAGUCGAGUGUUCACGACGGUAUUGAGCUUUCCAAGUGGUAAUAAGAGUCCGAUCUUAGCUCGUUGCCCCGUUUCGCUGCUCCGAGAGAGGAGCUGUGAAGGCCAUUGAAUUUUCAGUCUGGUAUUUGUUUAAAGAAAUUUUCCUUAUCAGUUUGUUUUACUGGUAGUUCCAUCGGUUUCUCCUUUCCUCUAUCUAAACUUGUUCAAUACAUCGUCAGUGCGAACCAUGGUUUUACGUGAAAGGUUACUCUUUUUAUACCUGUACAUUUCGUCUGACCUGAAUAUAGAAGCAAGCCCCAAAUGACAACAUUUAUUAGCAUCUUGAAUGAAAUUCGUUGACUGCUUUUGUGUAAAUGAGAUAAUGACUUGAUGUCUCAAAUAACAUUGUACUGCUUUGCUGUGCACCGGACCAAUCGAAUAUAUAUUAACCUCAGUUUUAUCGCGGAAUGCCCUAUCUUAUUAAAAACUCUCCUGAUCGCUAUCUAACUGUUCCAGUUAAGGUUUCGUUCAUGGAAUUUGUUGGGUAGAAGUUACCUUUGCUGGAUUUCUAGUUAAUCUGCCCUGCUUACCUAUUUUAAUCAAAAUCUGUGGAGCUUCUCUGGUUGUUUUUUCGAGUAAAGUGUUGUGAAAACUUCCCAAUGAACUCUUGGCUCAUGAUUCUCCGUGACUUGCCAGAGAGAGGGAGAUGUUGGUUUAAAGAAUUUUCAUUUGAUUAUUGGUUAUUCGUUCCCCUUUGAAAUUUAAUUCUGACAUGUUUGAUACGGAAAUGAGAUUUCCAGGUUUUAUCUAGCAUUAGUUCGUAGUAGUUGUUGUCUACUGGGCUACCUCUGUAUAGGGAUUUUAUAUAUACUCAUGCGAAUAGAAAGCAUUCCAGUCUCACUGGCCCUCUUCCCAGUUACCCUUUAUGUUUUCUUCUCCUUAAAUAGGACCAUGAGUAUAAGUUCGAUAGAACCUUUAAGUCUUUUGUCUUGCGAAAAAGGCUCGGGAUAUCUGUCCCAUUAUGAUAUAACUUUGUCUAUUCGCUUAUCGCUGAGACUUGGGUACCUCAAAUGGUCAUAGUAGAAGCAUGUUGCGGGAUAGCACUUGGCAUUUAUACUUCUAAGGUUGAUGUUGAAUAAGAUAAUAUUUAGUUAGUAGCUUUUGAAUGUGUAAAUCUGUUUACUUCUUUUUCUACCUGUAUUCUGAACAUGCUUUGAUUUCUUUUGCAUUUCGAUGUCAAACGUUUGCUUUACACUUCAUAGGCAUGCAUCCGGAUCGAUAUUAUUCUCUCUUUCACUUGGCAAUAUUUUUGCUGAGUUAACAUGUCCCUUCUUUAUAUCAUCUUCCUACUUUUAAAUAAGAUAUGUGGUUUCCUAGCAUUUUUUUUGUUUGAAUAUUUGUGUUAAGACGUUUAUUGUUCUAUUUUUUCCUUUUGUAUUUCAGAUAUGUUUUGAUUUCUUCUCUUUCUUUUUUUUUCGCAUGUAAACCACCUUGGAGUCCAAAUGGACUCUUCUUCCUUGCAUUUCAUGGUGAGCCAACAUGGCCCCCAUCCUUUGAGUCAAGCCCGAAAAAGAAUCUAAUCGCCUAUCACGUGACGUACGGAUACUAAGAAUCGAAAGAAGAACGAAUGGAGUAAAGUCCUAUCAUUUGAAGCAGCUACGAGACCCCAAAGUCUCAUUUAUUAUUUUUGUUUAUUUACUUAUUGUCGUCUUCAUUUAUUUAUUUAUUUCCUUAGUUAUUCAUUUGGGCCUCAAAGCCAAAGUUGUACUUAAUACAGGUGAAGCGAAACUCGAGCUAAAGGCUCGAAAACAUAGAAUUAGGACAGGUGGAAGACAGGCUGAAAGCCCAAUAUCUAGAUUAGGACAGGGUUGUCGAUUUAGGUCUAAUGGCUCAAGUCCUUCUGCUUC
Long non-coding RNA from Capsicum annuum, 2596 nucleotides. RefSeq lists it as uncharacterized. The transcript has 2 exons. The record is from RefSeq and is a predicted model, not a curated record. Lineage: Eukaryota; Viridiplantae; Streptophyta; Magnoliopsida; Solanales; Solanaceae.